Molecule: ribosomal RNA, 105 nt
Filed under: uncultured bacterium
Lineage: Bacteria
Description: partial 16S ribosomal RNA
Rfam family: Bacterial small subunit ribosomal RNA
Source: RNAcentral
CCUUGUACACACCGCCCGUCAAGUCAUGGGAGUUGGGAGUACCCGAAGUCCGCUUAGCUAACCGCAAGGAGGCGGCGGCCGACGGUAAGCCCGAUGACUGGGACU